This 259-nucleotide long non-coding RNA is filed under the name Lathyrus oleraceus (garden pea). RNAcentral describes it as "Pisum sativum (pea) long non-coding RNA (PSAT_LNC027146)". Lineage: Eukaryota; Viridiplantae; Streptophyta; Magnoliopsida; Fabales; Fabaceae. The record is from RNAcentral.
AACAUAUAGAUAGAAAUUUUAUGCCAGCUGAUUUACUAAUCCAAGACUUUACAUAUAAGGUCUUUCAUAUGAAUGUUGUUACUAAGGAUGUCCUAGAUUAGUGGGAGUCACUCCUUCUUUAUAUUUUAUGAUACUGUUUUGAUAUCGAUACAGACUUUAUGUUAAGAUUAUCUACAAAAAUAAAAUUUAUGAGGUUAUUAUUGUUAUAACCAUUUCUGUAUCGUUUGUGCAAAUAUUGAAUUUGCAAACUUUAGUUUGA